UCCGGGUUGGACCCGGCGGUCCCGCCAGACAUCGUAACUGGCGGCGGGGGUUGCGCUCGUUGCGGGACUUAACCCAACACCUCACGGCACGAGCUGACGACAGCCAUGCAGCAUCUGCGCACGCUCCCUCGCGGGUCCUCGGCCUUUCGGCUCCGUACCACGUGCAUGUCAAGCCCAGGUAAGGUUCUUCGCGUUGCGUCGAAUUAAACCACACGCUCCGCUGCUUGUGCGGGCCCCGUCAAUUCCUUUGAGUUUUAGCCUUGCGGCCGUACUCCCCAGGCGGCGGACUUACCGCGUGAGCUGCGGCACCGGGGGGGUCGAAGACCUCCCCACACCUAGCACUCAACGUUUACGGCUGGGACUAC
RNAcentral lists this unclassified non-coding RNA (365 nucleotides) under uncultured Chloroflexota bacterium. Its description in RNAcentral is "uncultured Chloroflexi bacterium contains 16S-23S intergenic spacer region". Lineage: Bacteria; Bacillati; Chloroflexota. The record is from RNAcentral.